RNAcentral lists this unclassified non-coding RNA (432 nucleotides) under Hevea brasiliensis (rubber tree). The record is from RNAcentral. Lineage: Eukaryota; Viridiplantae; Streptophyta; Magnoliopsida; Malpighiales; Euphorbiaceae.
CAGCAGGUUGAGAAGUUGAGGGAAAUGAGCCCACUUUAUGAGAUGGUGAAGGAAGGGAUUGAUAUUAAGCAGAUUCAAUGGGCACAACACUGACAGGUUGGUAUAGGAUAAAACAGCUAUGGAUAUUGAGUACGCGACACAGUUUUAGGAAUGGAUUGCAUGCUCAAUGAGGAUACCUCCAUUGAGCUGGAGCUGCCAAAGUGCAUUGCUUAAGGGUUGUUAUACAGGUUCUUACUUUCUGCUGUCCUUGUAUAUGCCCUUGCGAAGUUUCCUAGUUUAACUAGGGUAGAAUUUUGGCUCUAGAUGUUUUCUUAAACUAUAUGAAAGUUGUCUUCCUCUAGGUAUAAGCAUACCAUAAUUUGGCAACAGAAAUAAUAAGGUUUGCUUAUAGUGCAUAUGUAAAAGUUAUUUUCUGUUGUGUCUGUAACUUAU